This 253-nucleotide ribosomal RNA is filed under the name uncultured bacterium. RNAcentral's name for it is "partial 16S ribosomal RNA". It matches the Rfam family "Bacterial small subunit ribosomal RNA", at positions 524 to 776 of the family's 1533-position model. The record is from RNAcentral.
UACGGGGGGGGCAAGCGUUGUUCGGAAUUACUGGGCGUAAAGGGCUCGUAGGCUGCCAACUAAGUCAGACGUGAAAUCCCUCGGCUUAACCGGGGAACUGCGUCUGAUACUGGAUGGCUUGAGAUCGGGAGAGGGAUGCGGAAUUCCAGGUGUAGCGGUGAAAUGCGUAGAUAUCUGGAGGAACACCGGUGGCGAAGGCGACUUUCUGGCCUGUUCUUGACGCUGAGGCGCGAAAGCUAGGGGAGCAAACGGG